This 425-nucleotide ribosomal RNA is filed under the name uncultured bacterium. RNAcentral describes it as "bacterial SSU rRNA". It matches the Rfam family "Bacterial small subunit ribosomal RNA", at positions 354 to 796 of the family's 1533-position model. The record is from RNAcentral.
GUGGGGAAUAUUGGACAAUGGGGGCAACCCUGAUCCAGCCAUGCCGCGUGAGUGAAGAAGGCCUUCGGGUUGUAAAGCUCUUUCGGCGGGGACGAUGAUGACGGUACCCGCAUAAGAAGCCCCGGCAAACUUCGUGCCAGCAGCCGCGGUAAUACGAAGGGGGCUAGCGUUGUUCGGAAUUACUGGGCGUAAAGCGCGCGUAGGCGGUGAUCUUUGUCAGAGGUGAAAGCCCGGGGCUCAACUCCGGAAUUGCCUUUGAAACGGGAUCGCUAGAGUCCGAGAGAGGAUGGCGGAAUUCCUAGUGUAGAGGUGAAAUUCGUAGAUAUUAGGAAGAACACCGGUGGCGAAGGCGGCCAUCUGGCUCGGUACUGACGCUCAGGCGCGAAAGCGUGGGGAGCAAACAGGAUUAGAUACCCGAGUAGUCC